Molecule: long non-coding RNA, 237 nt
Filed under: Rattus norvegicus (Norway rat)
Lineage: Eukaryota; Metazoa; Chordata; Mammalia; Rodentia; Muridae
Description: long non-coding RNA NONRATT001882
Source: RNAcentral
UCGAACAAAGUGCCGGUGGUGCAGCACCCCCACCAUGUCCACCCACUCACACCUCUCAUCACGUACAGCAAUGAACACUUCACCCCGGGAAAUCCACCUCCGCACUUACCAGCUGACGUAGACCCCAAAACAGGAAUUCCACGGCCUCCGCACCCUCCAGAUAUCUCUCCAUAUUACCCGCUGUCGCCCGGCACCGUAGGACAAAUCCCCCAUCCGCUAGGAUGGUUAGUACCACAG